GAGGGUAUAGCUCAGUGGUAGAGUGCAUGCCUAGCAUGCAUGAGGUCAUGGGUUCAAUCCCCAGUACCUCCA
Molecule: transfer RNA, 72 nt
Filed under: Camelus bactrianus (Bactrian camel)
Lineage: Eukaryota; Metazoa; Chordata; Mammalia; Artiodactyla; Camelidae
Also listed under: 2 other names
Rfam family: tRNA
About the family: Transfer RNA (tRNA) molecules are approximately 80 nucleotides in length.
Source: Rfam by way of RNAcentral